This 445-nucleotide ribosomal RNA is filed under the name uncultured bacterium. Its description in RNAcentral is "bacterial SSU rRNA". It matches the Rfam family "Bacterial small subunit ribosomal RNA", at positions 354 to 796 of the family's 1533-position model. The record is from RNAcentral.
GUGAGGAAUAUUGGUCAAUGGGCGCAAGCCUGAACCAGCCAUCCCGCGUGCAGGAAGACGGCCCUAUGGGUUGUAAACUGCUUUUCCAGGAGACGAAUAGUCUUUACGUGUAAGGGCAUGACGGUACCCUGGGAAUAAGCAUCGGCUAACUCCGUGCCAGCAGCCGCGGUAAUACGGAGGAUGCAAGCGUUAUCCGGAUUCAUUGGGUUUAAAGGGUGCGUAGGCGGGCUAUUAUGUCAGUGGUGAAAUCCUGCAGCUUAACUGCAGAACUGCCGUUGAAACUGAUAGUCUUGAGUUUGGUUAAGGUAGGCGGAAUGUGUAAUGUAGCGGUGAAAUGCUUAGAUAUUACACAGAACACCGAUUGCGUAGGCAGCUUACUGAGCCGACACUGACGCUGAGGCACGAAAGCGUGGGGAUCGAACAGGAUUAGAAACCCGAGUAGUCC